RNAcentral lists this ribosomal RNA (621 nucleotides) under uncultured bacterium. RNAcentral's name for it is "bacterial SSU rRNA". It matches the Rfam family "Bacterial small subunit ribosomal RNA", at positions 560 to 1179 of the family's 1533-position model. The record is from RNAcentral.
GUAAAGAGCUCGUAGGCGGUUUGUCGCGUCUGCUGUGAAAACUGGAGGCUCAACCUCCAGCCUGCAGUGGGUACGGGCAGACUAGAGUGCGGUAGGGGAGAUUGGAAUUCCUGGUGUAGCGGUGGAAUGCGCAGAUAUCAGGAGGAACACCGAUGGCGAAGGCAGAUCUCUGGGCCGUAACUGACGCUGAGGAGCGAAAGCAUGGGGAGCGAACAGGAUUAGAUACCCUGGUAGUCCAUGCCGUAAACGUUGGGAACUAGAUGUAGGGACCAUUCCACGGUUUCUGUGUCGCAGCUAACGCAUUAAGUUCCCCGCCUGGGGAGUACGGCCGCAAGGCUAAAACUCAAAGGAAUUGACGGGGGCCCGCACAAGCGGCGGAGCAUGCGGAUUAAUUCGAUGCAACGCGAAGAACCUUACCAAGGCUUGACAUAUACGAGAACGGGCCAGAAAUGGUCAACUCUUUGGACACUCGUAAACAGGUGGUGCAUGGUUGUCGUCAGCUCGUGUCGUGAGAUGUUGGGUUAAGUCCCGCAACGAGCGCAACCCUCGUUCUUUGUUGCCAGCACGUCAUGGUGGGAACUCAAAGGAGACUGCCGGGGUCAACUCGGAGGAAGGCGGGGA